UACGUAGGGUGCGAGCGUUAAUCGGAAUUACUGGGCGUAAAGCGUGCGCAGGCGGUUAUGUAAGACAGAUGUGAAAUGCCCGGGCCUUAACCUGGGAACUGCAUUGUGACUGCAUGGCUAGAGUUUGGCAGAGGGGGUAGAAUUCCACGUGUAGCAGUGAAAUGCGUAGAUAUGUGGAGGAACACCGAUGGCGAAGGGCAGCCCCCUGGGUCAAGACUGACGCUCAUGCACGAAAGGCGUGGGGAGCAAACGAGGAUUAGAGUACCCCUGAUAGCC
This 276-nucleotide ribosomal RNA is filed under the name uncultured bacterium. RNAcentral's name for it is "partial 16S ribosomal RNA". It matches the Rfam family "Bacterial small subunit ribosomal RNA", at positions 524 to 795 of the family's 1533-position model. The record is from RNAcentral.